GAUGAACGCUGGCGGCGUGCUUAACACAUGCAAGUCGAACGAAGCACUUUAUUUGAUUUCCUUUGGGACUGAUUAUUUUGUGACUGAGUGGCGGACGGGUGAGUAACGCGUGGGUAACCUGCCUUGUACAGGGGGAUAACAGUUGGAAACGGCUGCUAAUACCGCAUAAGCGCACGGCAUCGCAUGAUGCAGUGUGAAAAACUCCGGUGGUAUAAGAUGGACCCGCGUUGGAUUAGCUAGUUGGUGAGGUAACGGCCCACCAAGGCGACGAUCCAUAGCCGACCUGAGAGGGUGACCGGCCACAUUGGGACUGAGACACGGCCCAAACUCCUACGGGAGGCAGCAGUGGGGAAUAUUGCACAAUGGGCGAAAGCCUGAUGCAGCGACGCCGCGUGAGCGAAGAAGUAUUUCGGUAUGUAAAGCUCUAUCAGCAGGGAAGAUAAUGACGGUACCUGACUAAGAAGCACCGGCUAAAUACGUG
This 481-nucleotide ribosomal RNA is filed under the name uncultured bacterium. Its description in RNAcentral is "partial 16S ribosomal RNA". It matches the Rfam family "Bacterial small subunit ribosomal RNA", at positions 28 to 507 of the family's 1533-position model. The record is from RNAcentral.